UACGAAGGGGGCAAGCGUUGUCCGGAAUCAUUGGGCGUAAAGCGCGUGUAGGCGGCCCGAUAAGUCCGCUGUGAAAGUCCAGGGCUCAACCCUGGGAUGCCGGUGGAUACUGUCGGGCUCGAGUCCGGAAGAGGCGAGUGGAAUUCCUGGUGUAGCGGUGAAAUGCGCAGAUAUCAGGAGGAACACCGGUGGCGAAGGCGGGUCUCUGGGCCGAUACUGACGCUGAGAAGCGAAAGCAUGGGGAGCGAACAGG
Molecule: ribosomal RNA, 253 nt
Filed under: uncultured bacterium
Lineage: Bacteria
Description: partial 16S ribosomal RNA
Rfam family: Bacterial small subunit ribosomal RNA
Source: RNAcentral